RNAcentral lists this ribosomal RNA (497 nucleotides) under uncultured bacterium. RNAcentral describes it as "partial 16S ribosomal RNA". It matches the Rfam family "Bacterial small subunit ribosomal RNA", at positions 28 to 507 of the family's 1533-position model. The record is from RNAcentral.
GAUGAACGCUGGCGGCGUGCCUAAUACAUGCAAGUCGAGCGAACGGGCGAGAAGCUUGCUUCUCUGAUGUUAGCGGCGGACGGGUGAGUAACACGUGGAUAACCUACCUAUAAGACUGGGAUAACUUCGGGAAACCGGAGCUAAUACCGGAUGAUAUUUUGAACCGCAUGGUUCAAAAGUGAAAGACGGUCUUGCUGUCACUUAUAGAUGGAUCCGCGCUGCAUUAGCUAGUUGGUAAGGUAACGGCUUACCAAGGCAACGAUGCAUAGCCGACCUGAGAGGGUGAUCGGCCACACUGGAACUGAGACACGGUCCAGACUCCUACGGGAGGCAGCAGUAGGGAAUCUUCCGCAAUGGGCGAAAGCCUGACGGAGCAACGCCGCGUGGGUGAUGAAGGUCUUCGGAUCGUAAAACUCUGUUAUUAGGGAAGAACAUAUGUGUAAGUAACUGUGCACAUCUUGACGGUACCUAAUCAGAAAGCCACGGCUAACUACGUG